This is a non-coding RNA of Paramuricea clavata, 72 nucleotides long. The record is from the annotation of a GenBank genome assembly. Lineage: Eukaryota; Metazoa; Cnidaria; Anthozoa; Malacalcyonacea; Plexauridae.
GACCACGUAACUCAGUUGGCAGAGCAUUGGGCUAGUAUUCCAAAGGCGUAGGUUCGGUCCCCACCGUGGCCG